Oncorhynchus tshawytscha (Chinook salmon) is the source of this 3916-nucleotide long non-coding RNA. NCBI's taxonomy places the organism in Eukaryota, Metazoa, Chordata, Actinopteri, Salmoniformes, Salmonidae. The record is from Ensembl.
AAUGUAGUCGGCAAGAGUGGAGGAAGAGAGAAAGGUACCAGCAAUACAACUCCGUCGGCAGAAGGUCCUGAAGGAGGAAACCGAGGCAAAGGAGGAUGGUGCUGCUAAACAGAAUUCCAGGUUAGAUUGAAUGUGUUUUGCUCAUAAUUUUUGUGAAUAUGCAAUGAUCCGUUUCUGCUAAUUCAAUCAGAUGAAUUGGAAGCAGGGCUUCAGUAGCUGGAGACAAGGCUUUCUUCUACAGAGCUCCUCUGUAUGGAAUGGUUUGCCGAAGUGAGAGAAUCAGACUCAGUCUCAACCUUCAAGACUUUUCUCUUCUGUCAGUCCUAUGAUUGAGUGUAGUCUGGCCCAUGGGUGGGAAGGUGAACAGAAACAUGAAAGCCAUCUGACCCUAGAGUCUUGAAAUGUUUGCAGCCUCUAAUGCCAAUAAGGUCUUUACCUGACCCUGCUGGUCAUCUAUGAACGUUUGAAAGUGUUUUUGUGUGCUCUAUCUUGUUCUUAGCAUGCUUAUUUAAGAUGGUGAGGAAAGCACUUUUAAAGAACAACCAGGCAUCCUCUACUGAAAGGAUGAGGUCAAUAUCUUUCCAGGAUAACCGGGCCAGGUCGAUUAGAAAGGCCUGCUCGCGGAAGUGUUUCAGGGAGCGUUUGACAGUGAUGAGUGCAGGUCGCUUGACCGCUGACCCAUUAUGGAUGCAGGCAAUGAGGCAGUGAUAGCUGAGAUCUUGGUUGAAAACAGCAGAGGUGUAUUUAGAGGGCAAGUUGGUUAGGAUGAUAUCUAUGAGGGUGUCCGUGUUUACAGCUUUGGGGUGGUACCUGGUAGGUUCAUUGAUAAUUUGUGUGAGAUUGAGGGCAUCAAGCUUAGAUUGUAGGAUGGCUGGGGUGUUAAGCAUGUUCCAGUUUAGGUCACCUAGCAGCAUGAGCUCUGAAGAUAGAUGGGGGGCAAUCAGUUCACAUAUGGUGUCCAGAGCACAGCUGGAGGCAGAGGGUGGUCUAUAGCAGGCGGCAACGGUGAGAGACUUGUUUUUAGAGAGUUGGAUUUUUAAAAGUAGAAGUUCAAAUUGUUUGGGUACAGACCUGGAUAGUAGGACAGAUCUCUGCAGGCUAUCUCUGCAGCAGAUUGCAACACCGCCCCCUGUGGCAGUUCUAUCUUGUCUGAAAAUGUUGUUGUUAGGGAUGGAGAUUUCAGAGUUUUUGGUGGUCUUCCUAAGACAGGAUUCAGACACGGCUAGGACAUCCGGGUUGGCAGAGUGUGCUAAAGGCGUGAAUAAAACAAGCUUAGGGAGGAGGCUUCUAAUGUUAACAUGCAUGAAACCAAGGCUAUUACAGUUACAGAAGUCAUCAAAAGAGAACGCCUGGGGAAUAGGAGUGGAGCUAGGCACUGCAGGGCCUGGAUUCACCUCUACAUCACCAGAGGAACAGAGGAGGAGUAGGAUAAGGGUACGGCUAAAAGCUAUGAGAAUUGGUCGUCUAGGACGUCCGGAAGCUUGGAUAGAUGUUUAACAUAUCAGCUAACCACAUCUUAUGAUAUAGGAAUGUAAUGCCCGAUAGUCGAUGACGUGGCACAACCAUUGGUUGAUGCAAUGCAAUGUCUUCAACGUAAUCAGGCAGGAACACCACCAGUGUGUGGUUAGGUGAUAUGUUCAACACUAGCCUCACGUGGCCAUCCAUCCAAAUCUUGUCUUGGUAGUCUGAAGAAAUCCAGUAUAGGAUUCUGUGUUUGAAUGGGAGUGUAGGUUUUUGUUCAGACCCUUAUCUAGCACGCCCAACUAACUGGUUGAUAAAUUGAAUCACGUUAGUUGGGUUUGGAACGAAAACCUGCUGGGUUUGGAGCGAAAACCUACAGGAUGGUAGCUCUCCAGGAACAGGAACAGAGUUGGUCAGCCCUGCAAUAGUGAUUUGGGAUUUGUAAAAUAUAAAAGUAGAGGCCAAUAAAUCCUCAAAUAAUCUGAACCAAUUAUGCUAAUCUGUUAUGUUAACGAUCUGUUAUAAUAGACACAGAAAUGAUGAAGCAAUGAAGACCACCUGGAACGCACCCAUGUAGACCUGAGACGAGCCCGCGGGCUAGCAACGCAACCGCAACCCAGCAAUGAAUGCAGAGGGAGAGGACGGAAAUGGAGUCCCUGGACAAGGCGGGAACGAGAUGGUGGUUAGGAGUAGUGCAGUAUUAUCAACAGGAGAGGUGUACUUGGAAAAUGGAGGAGGAGUGGAGGGAAAUGGAGAGGGAGAGAAGGUCUAAGAGAGAGAGGGAAGAAGAGGGUGAGCUUGAGUCGGAUAAGAAUGGUGUAAAAAAGGGAAAUGGUUUGUUAAAGAAGGGAAAAAUGUGUAAGCAGGGAAAAGGGAAAAUGUGUAAGCAGAGGGAGCUGAAGGAUGAGAAAUUGAAGUGAAUGAGGGUGAAUUAUCGAAGGUGGUAGGUAUCGGAGACCGAGGUAUGCACCUAGGAUCAGGAUAAAGAUGAGUCUGUGACAGUAGGAGUGAAGUUUAUGGAAAAAAAUGGACUCUUGCCUUUUGGCUGAUCCAUUUGUGGUUUCACUGUGGGUGAAACAAUAGUUGGGUAAUUUGGAAUCGGUGAAGGUAACCAGAAGUGGGCUAGUCAUAAUUGUUUGUGUUUCUGCUGGUCAGAGGGAGAAGGCGCUCAGAGUAAAACAAAUGGGGGGGCAAGAAAAUCGAAAAUUGUUUCGCUCUCAAGAAAAGGGCGCUGAUGAAAGCAGUGAUAACUGGGGUAAGGUAAACUCACCCCAUUCCAUACAAAUGUGCGCAACUGCCACAUUCAAACGAGGCGACAAAAAAAACUAAUGGGACUGUAGCGACUGUGUUGACUUCAAAAGCGGGGGUGUGAACUAGGCUUCUAUUCAAGCGUUGAUCGACAUGGUAAUGGCUCCAUAGUAUGAGAAAAGUUUUUAAAAAACUGACCCUCCAUUACAUCGUGACGUGUCAUGUCGUAACGUACAGCACGCAUAAAGCAACUAUUUAUGUCUUACAAUCUCUCUCCACCAGGUGUAGCACUUCUCUCAUCCUUUAAAAACAAGAAAGGGACAGUGACGCGGCCCUGGCAACAACACCAAAAAGAAAACAACACAUCAAGAAGUGCAAAAUCGAGGAUGUAUGAUCGGCAGCCUAGUCUGUGCAAGUCCGAUCUGUGAUGGAUUUGUUAUUAUAAAUGUACAGUACCGUUCAAAAGUUGGGGUCACUUAGAAAUGUCCUUGUCUUUGAAAGAAACACAUUUUUAUCCAUUAAAAUAACAUAAAAUUGAUCAGAAAUACAGUGUAGACAUUGUUAAUAUUGUAAAUGACUAUUGUAGCUAGAAAUGGCUGAUUUAAUGUUAUAUCUACAUAGGCCCAUUAUCAGCAACCGUCACUCCUGUGUUCUAAUGGCAUGAUGUGUUAGCUAAUCCAAGUUUAUUUUAAAAGGCUAAUUGAUCAUUAGAAAACCCUUUUGCAAUUAUGUUAGCACAGCUGAAAACUGUUGUCCUGAUUAAAGAAGUAAUAAAACUGGCCUGCUUUAGAAUAGUUGAGUAUCUGGAGCAUCAGCAUUUGUGGGUUUGAUUACAGGCUCAAAAUGUCCAGAAACAAUGAACUUCCUUCUGAAACUCGUCAGCCUAUUCUUGUUCUGAGAAUUGAAGUCUAUUCCACGCGAGAAAUUACCAAGAAACUGAAGAUCUCAUACAACACUGUGUACUACUCCCUUCAUUGGAUGUAAAUCUCCUCAGAUGGAUUGAUAUGCUGUUUAUUUGUUUGUAAAUAUGUGUGGGUCCUCAGCAUCUUGUCUCAUUGUCAAACUAGUGUCUGUCAAUGCAGUAGUAUUUCUGUAUCACAUUAAGCUGGAGUGGAUGUGGCGCAGCAAAAAAAAGUUCUCCUUCAAACAGGGGAAAGAGUGGGGGGUGGAGGGGUGAAAUAAAUCAACACAAACAAUGAAGUACUGA